AAAUUCAAAUCCCUAUUAGGAUAAAUGAUUGAGUGUUCCUGUAAAGAAUUUUUCCCCUGGUUCAAGCAACCAGAUUUCAUUCCCAGAUGAUCAAAAACGGACUUGAUGAAAUGGAAAAGCACAGAUAGAAACAGUUCCACUGCUCAAAAUUACUCCUGAAGAGAUGAGGACACCAGGAUAUGCCACUGGACCACUGAAGGAAUGAUGAUGGUAUGAAUAAAGUAUUUUUAAUGAGCAGAACCAUUCUUUGCUCUGCUCUGUCCUCACCCCUCAAGAGAAUUUCCCUUAUUAUUAUGAAAACUUUUUAUCUUAAAAGAUAUUACAUGUUAAUGGAACUGUCAUUUAACAAAUGUUUUAUAAGUGUACCAAUCAAGCACAUUGUCGAAAUAAAAGAUAUGAAAUAAGUAUAAA
RNAcentral lists this long non-coding RNA (411 nucleotides) under Pongo abelii (Sumatran orangutan). Its description in RNAcentral is "lincRNA". The record is from RNAcentral. Lineage: Eukaryota; Metazoa; Chordata; Mammalia; Primates; Hominidae.